AACGAACGUUAGCGGCGCGCCUAACACAUGCAAGUCGCACGAGAAGAGGCUUCGGCCUUUGUAAAGUGGCGCACGGGUGAGUAACACGUGGGUAAUGUACCUUCGGGCGGGGGAUAACAUUCCGAAAGGAAUGCUAAUACCGCAUAGGACCACGACCUCGAGAGGGGUUGGGGUGAAAGCAGGCCUCUAUAUAUAAGCUUGCACCUGAAGAUCAGCCCGCGGCCCAUCAGCUAGUUGGUAGGGUAAUGGCCUACCAAGGCUAAGACGGGUACCUGGUCUGAGAGGAUGAUCAGGCACACUGGAACUGAGACACGGUCCAGACUCCUACGGGAGGCAGCAGUGGGGAAUCUUGCGCAAUGGGCGAAAGCCUGACGCAGCGACGCCGCGUGAGUGAUGAAGGCCUCGGUGUAAGACUCUGUGGGAGGAGAAGAAUAAGUACGUUGGCGUAACAAUCCACGAUGAUGACGGUAUCUCCUUAG
RNAcentral lists this ribosomal RNA (479 nucleotides) under uncultured bacterium. RNAcentral's name for it is "bacterial SSU rRNA". It matches the Rfam family "Bacterial small subunit ribosomal RNA", at positions 29 to 486 of the family's 1533-position model. The record is from RNAcentral.